CCGAGUUUACAAACUCCCAAACCCAUGUGAACCUUACCUAUCGUUGCUUCGGCGGAUACGCCCCGGCGCUCUCGCGACCGGAACCAGGCGCCCGCCGGGGGAAACAAACUCUUGUCUUAGCGAGUGAAUAUUCUGAGUGGCGAAAGCAAAAAAUACGUUA
This 160-nucleotide unclassified non-coding RNA is filed under the name uncultured Nectriaceae. RNAcentral's name for it is "sequence contains ITS1". Lineage: Eukaryota; Fungi; Ascomycota; Sordariomycetes; Hypocreales; Nectriaceae. The record is from RNAcentral.